This is a non-coding RNA of Marmota flaviventris (yellow-bellied marmot), 2137 nucleotides long. NCBI's taxonomy places the organism in Eukaryota, Metazoa, Chordata, Mammalia, Rodentia, Sciuridae. The record is from RefSeq and is a predicted model, not a curated record.
CCCGAGGUUAAGAGACCCAAAGGGGAAGAGAAGAGCCACGCAAAGGCAGCGGGUGGGGCUCGAGCCCCCUGCCUCGGCUGCGACGCCCAGAUUCCACCGGCCGGGCCAGAGGGAAGCUAGAGGCUUCGGGCUGGCGAUCUGCUAAAACGACAAAAUAAGCAACAACAACAACAAAGGGGCCCCACCAGGCGGCGGCCCUGGUCUUUAGCUCCCGGGCGAGACCCGGAAGCCCUGGCAGGAGCGGGGCGGAGCCGCCGGAUCCGGCCUCCAAGGACCAGCGUCAGAGUGUCCCGGCACGGCGGCUCGUUGGUCUAGGGGUAUGAUUCUCGCUUUGGGUGCGAGAGGUCCCGGGUUCAAAUCCCGGACGAGCCCGGCUUUUUUUCCCCACCCACAAAUCCUGUGCCCAGGGGACGCUGACUCUUUCAGGCACAGCACAUUCCCGAAAGCCUGCGACCUCUCGGCGUUGCCAGCUGUCCCUCGCGUGGCCUGGGCCUCACCCAGUCUGAUUCUUGGACCUAGAAGUUCUAGAUUCCUCUGGGGAAACGGAACCCAAACCUGGGCAACAGAGCGGAGGGCAAUCCCACCUCCCCGCCUCCUGGACAGGUCCCCGUCCUGUGCCAGACCACGGGGGGGGGGGGUGUCCAGGGAUGGCACUUACUCUGGGCGGGUAAUUUCCUUUGGGUACCAUAAGUCAAAUUCCGGCGGAGCCCACGGAUGUGAACGUCCUUUUCCUCUUGAGAGGCUGCCUUGCACAACCAAGGGGAGGAAACGGCGGCAGAGUCUGAGCGCGAGGCCUAGAGCCGCUGGGUUGGGGCUGCCAAGAAGAAGGGGUCACCGUGGAAGUGCAGGGCGCUCCUGCCUUUGGUCUCUGAAGAACGGCAGCAGUUGAAUAGGUUUUGCUGUAAUUCGGGAACAGUGCAACCUGCAGAGGAGACAACUGCCAUUGAGAACAUAACGGAGAAGGGGUGAGAUAACUAGUCAAGAGCCCGUACUGUGGAUUUCAUGGGACUAUAAAGAUAAGCAGGUUAAAAUUGACUAGCUUGAAUAGUUUCAGGGGGCUCCGGGGUGUGGAGUCUGUCCCUAGUUGUCUGAUACCCGACCCUGGGUGACACAGGCUGUGAGUCCUGGCCCAGAGUAGCAGAGCUCAAUAAAAGAGGUGAUCAGUGUUGUGGCCUCUGUGUGGGUGGGUUUGUAUUUGAAGUGCACAAUCUGGAAGGAGUUGUUUGCUAUCUCCAAGAAUUUGCUAGCCUGGAAGGAGAAGUCCCUCCAGGAUGAGUGAGGCCCUGAUGUCCAAGUUUCAGAAUGCAGAAAAUAGGAGAUGGCUAAUACAGGCAGGGACUAAGGGUUUUCGUGGAAACUGGGGUAUCCUAAGCUGGAAGAGUGACCCUCUUGUACUCUUGUACACCUGAGGAUUGAUUACUGCCCUAGCCAGGUGAAUUGAACACAGGCAAGAGGUCCAGGACAUAUACUGCCCACACCAGUGUCCCUUCUUUACCUCAGGGGGUUGUGUGUGUGUGUGUGUGUGUGUGUGUGCUGGUGGCCCCUUUCUGAUUCUGGUUCAAAUACCACACUAGCCCAAUUUUUAAGGUCCAGUAGUGGUAGUACCUGUAAGACAAGAAGUCAAAGUCUGGCGCUUUCAGAGGAAGCUUUGUGGUGAGGGCUGCUCUGUAACUGAAAACAAGUGGCCUGGCUCAGACAGGAAAGAGAUGCGUGGAGAGGGGACCUAACAUGGGGCUGGAAUCCACGACCUGAGAUUAGGAGUCUCUUACUCUACCCACCGAGCUAGCCCGGCUGCUCUAACUCUUCAAAAUAACGAGUCAGGUCACUACCCUGAAAAAGGAGACUGCACACGUAGUCACUAUUGGUAUCCCCCGGGGACACACUGGGCGCCAAGGAACUGCCAGGAGCCAACCUCCCGGGGGAUUUCUGACACCCGGCCACGCUGCCUCGGUCGGAGCGGGCGUGCAGACCGUGGAAACCCUACAGUCAGGGACUGCGGGAUCGUGCCGGGCAGGGAAGGGAGUGGGGCGGCGCGCCGACCUAGGGACAGACGACAAGACCCAGUCCCGCGGCGUGGACAGGAAGCGGCGCGGACCUGCGCGAGCUCAGCCCACGACGCGCUGACCCUGGCCUUAAA